Molecule: ribosomal RNA, 389 nt
Filed under: uncultured bacterium
Lineage: Bacteria
Description: bacterial SSU rRNA
Rfam family: Bacterial small subunit ribosomal RNA
Source: RNAcentral
AUUAAACGCUGGCGGCAUGCCUUACACAUGCAAGUCGAACGGCAGCACGGGGGCAACCCUGGUGGCGAGUGGCGAACGGGUGAGUAAAGCAUCGGAACGUGCCCUGGAGUGGGGGAUAACGUAGCGAAAGUUACGCUAAUACCGCAUAUUCUGUGAGCAGGAAAGCAGGGGAUCGCAAGACCUUGCGCUUUGGGAGCGGCCGAUGUCGGAUUAGCUAGUUGGUGGGGUAAAGGCCUACCAAGGCGACGAUCCGUAGCGGGUCUGAGAGGAUGAUCCGCCACACUGGGACUGAGACACGGCCCAGACUCCUACGGGAGGCAGCAGUGGGGAAUUUUGGACAAUGGGCGCAAGCCUGAUCCAGCCAUGCCGCGUGAGUGAAGAAGGCCUUC